RNAcentral lists this ribosomal RNA (448 nucleotides) under Veillonella parvula. Its description in RNAcentral is "bacterial SSU rRNA". It matches the Rfam family "Bacterial small subunit ribosomal RNA", at positions 28 to 454 of the family's 1533-position model. Lineage: Bacteria; Bacillati; Bacillota; Negativicutes; Veillonellales; Veillonellaceae. The record is from RNAcentral.
GACGAACGCGGCGGCGUGCUUAACACAUGCAAGUCGAACGAAGAGCGAUGGAAGCUUGCUUCUAUCAAUCUUAGUGGCGAACGGGUGAGUAACGCGUAAUCAACCUGCCCUUCAGAGGGGGACAACAGUUGGAAACGACUGCUAAUACCGCAUACGAUCUAACCUCGGCAUCGAGGAAAGAUGAAAGGUGGCCUCUAUUUAUAAGCUAUCACUGAAGGAGGGGAUUGCGUCUGAUUAGCUAGUUGGAGGGGUAACGGCCCACCAAGGCGAUGAUCAGUAGCCGGUCUGAGAGGAUGAACGGCCACAUUGGGACUGAGACACGGCCCAGACUCCUACGGGAGGCAGCAGUGGGGAAUCUUCCGCAAUGGACGAAAGUCUGACGGAGCAACGCCGCGUGAGUGAUGACGGCCUUCGGGUUGUAAAGCUCUGUUAAUCGGGACGAAAGGCC